GACGAACGCUGGCGGCGUGCCUAAUACAUGCAAGUAGAACGCUGAAGGAGGAGCUUGCUUCUCUGGAUGAGUUGCGAACGGGUGAGUAACGCGUAGGUAACCUGCCUGGUAGCGGGGGAUAACUAUUGGAAACGAUAGCUAAUACCGCAUAAGAGUAGAUGUUGCAUGACAUUUGCUUAAAAGGUGCAAUUGCAUCACUACCAGAUGGAGCUGCGUUGUAUUAGCUAGUUGGUGAGGUAACGGCUCACCAAGGCAACGAUACAUAGCCGACCUGAGAGGGUGGUCGGCCACCCUGGGACUGUGACCCGGCCCAGUGUGCUACGGGAGGCAGCAGUAGGGCAUCUUCGGCCAUGGGCGGAAGUCUGACCGAGCAACGCCGCGUGAGUGAAGAAGGUUUUCGGGUCGUAGAGCUCGGUUGUAAGGGAAGAACGAGUGUGAGAGUGGAAAGUUCACACUGUGACGGUAUCUUAUAAGAAAGAAACGGCUAACUACGUG
RNAcentral lists this ribosomal RNA (495 nucleotides) under uncultured bacterium. RNAcentral describes it as "partial 16S ribosomal RNA". It matches the Rfam family "Bacterial small subunit ribosomal RNA", at positions 28 to 507 of the family's 1533-position model. The record is from RNAcentral.